RNAcentral lists this long non-coding RNA (318 nucleotides) under Elaeis guineensis (African oil palm). RNAcentral describes it as "long non-coding RNA (EGUI_LNC075670)". The record is from RNAcentral. Lineage: Eukaryota; Viridiplantae; Streptophyta; Magnoliopsida; Arecales; Arecaceae.
UCCAAGGAUAUCCAUCCCCCAUUGUGCAAACGACCAUGGGGCACUCAAAGGUGUAAGUUUGGAGGCAGGUUGUCUUUGGAUAUUCGCAUAUCUCUGACACCGAUCACACUUUCUGACAUAUUCAAUGGAGUUGUGGUAUAUUGUAGGCCAGUAAUAACCUUGUCGGAGUAGUUUGUGGGAUAAAAAUCUGGCCCCCAGGUGACUUUCGCAGACUCCUUCAUGUACCUUCCACAAAGCAAAGUCAGCUUCAGAAAGCCAGAGACAUUUCAGGAGGGGCAAAGAGUACAACCUCUUGUACAGCUUGCCCUCAUAAAGGAU